Molecule: long non-coding RNA, 928 nt
Organism: Aedes aegypti (yellow fever mosquito)
Lineage: Eukaryota; Metazoa; Arthropoda; Insecta; Diptera; Culicidae
Exons: 2
Source: RefSeq, a predicted model, not a curated record
UUUCUCCCCGAAAAAAAUGUCUAAAUAUUCUUAACAGAAUGCAUUCAGGGCUUGAACAAUGCGCUGAUUAGAAGGUUUCUAAUGUUUCUCUUGUACUUGUCGUACCUUCAGCAAUGCUGUGUUGUGUUGUUACGUGAAUGCUGCCUUGCCUCAAGCUGCAGUUUGCAUUAAUUUUUUUGGUGUGUUAAAGACGCAAAAUCGAUGCCCGUUCGCGGAUUAUGCUAUUGUGCUGUGAUAUUUGCCUUUGUCAAUCAUCAAAUUCUCAAUUUCGUAUGGUGGUUACCGUGAAAAAGUGGAUUGAAAUUCUAUCGCACCGAUUACGAACGCCAUAACGCUAAUUGUUUGUUAUCGCUGUGCACUGUAUAGGAUGGCUAUGAGAGAAACUGGCAAUACACCGUCGAUCUGCAAACAAUGCUCUUCUUCAAUCGUCCGAGGUGAUGCUUGUAUCGCUUGCGAAGGUUUAUGCGGCAAAGUGUAUCACAUUAAGUGCGUCGGGCUUAGUAGAGACGAAUUGAAGGCAUACCUAAAAAAAUCCAAUUUUUGGUGGAUUUGUGAUAUGUGCAUCCAACAGAUACGUGAAAUAAGAAAUGAUCGUUUACCGCAGAAAGACGUUAAUCUUCAGGCGAGCCCUCGAACAGAAGCUGUGAAAGUAAAGAUGUCACACGGAGAUGAAAUUUUGGAAAUAAAGAAACAAAUUGCUGCCAUCCAGGAUACCCUUAGAAAUGUUAAUAUGAACGAAACUGGAAUUGAAGUGCAAUCUAUUCGAACCUUCAAUACUGAUCCGCCCGCUGCUUCCCCGAUUACGUCACCAAAACUGCUAUGCGGAACAAAGAAUACUACGAACCCUAACGCUUCCGUUGUCCCCGAUGUGUUGAAUGGAAAAUGUUGGCUCUUCUUUACGAGGCUGAAGAACCAUGUUACAGAACAU